AUACUUACCUGGCACAGGGCAUACCGUGAUCAUGAAGGCGGUUCCACCAGGAUGAGGCUAUAAUUGCACUUCGGUUGGGCUGACCCCUGCGAUUACUCCUAAUGUGGGUAAUUCGGGUGCAUAAUUAUGGAUAGUCGGGACUGCGUUCGCGCAGACCCGGU
Molecule: small nuclear RNA, 161 nt
Filed under: Schistocerca americana (American grasshopper)
Lineage: Eukaryota; Metazoa; Arthropoda; Insecta; Orthoptera; Acrididae
Description: U1 spliceosomal RNA
Rfam family: U1 spliceosomal RNA
About the family: U1 is a small nuclear RNA (snRNA) component of the spliceosome (involved in pre-mRNA splicing). Its 5' end forms complementary base pairs with the 5' splice junction, thus defining the 5' donor site of an intron.
Source: RNAcentral